AUUGAACGCUGGCGGCAGGCCUAACACAUGCAAGUCGAGCGAGCGGCGGACGGGUGAGUAAUGUAUGGGAAACUGCCCGAUGGAGGGGGAUAACUACUGGAAACGGUAGCUAAUACCGCAUACCAUCGGAUGUGCCCAGAUGGGAUUAGCUACUAGGUGGGGUAAAGGCUCACCUAGGCGACGAUCCCUAGCUGGUCUGAGAGGAUGACAAGCCACACGGGAACUGGGACACGGCCCAGACUCCUACGGGAGGCAGCAGUGGGGAAUAUUGCACAAUGGGCGCAAGCCUGAUGCAGCCAUGCCGCGUGUAUGAAGAAGGCCUUAGGGUUGUAAAGUACUUUCAGCGGGGAGGCGUUACUCGCAGAAGAAGCACCGGCUAACUCCGUGCCAGCAGCCGCGGUAAUAC
Molecule: ribosomal RNA, 406 nt
Filed under: uncultured bacterium
Lineage: Bacteria
Description: partial 16S ribosomal RNA
Rfam family: Bacterial small subunit ribosomal RNA
Source: RNAcentral